UUUAGGCUCUUAUUAUCUUUACAACCUGACCCUUUUGUUAUUAGGGUUUCCUCCUUUCACGAUUACAGAGCUUCUACGUUCAGACGCUGUGCCUCUUCGGAUCUCCAUAACUCUGAACAACGCCUGUGUAACGUCUCCCAUUUUCGGCUACCAUCUCCAUUAAUCCAAGCAUUAAUGUCUUUCCCACCACUGCUCCUACUCUUUUCCAUUUAAAUGGCCUCAUCAUCCUCCAACCCUGGAGCUCCAUCUAUAAAUGUUUUCUUUUCCUGCGAUGAACACCCUCACUGCUACAAAAUCUGAAAGGUCACACUGUUACGAAUUCCUAUACUCUUAUUACCGAUUUGAAGGUUGGUCGCUGUUCAAACACCUGCUGAGGUCCGGCUUCUAAGGUUCUGGGAGGCAAGGAAUGUCAAGAAAGGCGGCGAGCUGAUGGUGUCGACAUGCUACUCCUGGACGAGAAGGCUCUCCGUUGUAAUGAAGUGAUGGUCACAUGUCUGCUACGCUUUUGGGUGGCCAGGGACCUGAAGAAAAGCGGCGAGCUUAUAUGGUUUUAGUAGACGGAAAAGGUAGCAUAAUAAAGCGUAAUUCCUAUUAUAUGUUGUUGUUAUUGCGAGAAUUUUAUCAACUUAGAAACUUUUUCUUUUGUUUUUUCCCCUUUGAUUCAAGGAUCCAUCGCCGCACACACACAGGCUUUAAACUUUCAAGAAUAAGUAAUAUUUUAGUUGUUCUAUAAAUCUCAAAACCAUAAAGUUGCAUCCUUUAUUUUUUAUUAUGAAGAUGGUACUCGGAGAAGCUCGUGAAAUGACAGUGGGGUAAAGAAGACCGUGUUUCUGAGUGGAACAAUUACAUAGACUCUCACGGAGGAGUUUUAUGGAAAACUUCUCACUCAAAUUUUGGAGGUUGCUGGUGAGCUGAAUCCAUCCAACUAAACAAUCUGAUGCAAAAGAAUCCAGUUGAUACUUGAUCCUUAAUGUUUCUCAAUAACAUUCUCUUUGAAACAUAUCCAUUGAGCAACUUUUCAUAUAUAGGAAAGCAUCUGAAAAUCUAUUACAUAAGAAGGCAAUCAAAGUACAAGGAGAAUGGUGUAUUCUUUAUUUUAAAACCUUCCUCAUCUUCCUCAAGCCAGAUUUGUGAGGUAAGUAGCAACACCACCUGUAGUUUCUGCGUUUGCCAUUGAUAGCUUCGAUCAAGUAUGAAGCAGCAGUGAAAAAGGAGCUAAAAAUAGAAACCAUUUUAGACGUUUGGCUUCAAUUUCUCCAAUAGCGAGACCCUCUGUCUC
Long non-coding RNA from Brassica napus (rape), 1279 nucleotides. RefSeq lists it as uncharacterized. The transcript has 4 exons. The record is from RefSeq and is a predicted model, not a curated record. Lineage: Eukaryota; Viridiplantae; Streptophyta; Magnoliopsida; Brassicales; Brassicaceae.